RNAcentral lists this long non-coding RNA (271 nucleotides) under Lathyrus oleraceus (garden pea). Its description in RNAcentral is "Pisum sativum (pea) long non-coding RNA (PSAT_LNC026876)". The record is from RNAcentral. Lineage: Eukaryota; Viridiplantae; Streptophyta; Magnoliopsida; Fabales; Fabaceae.
AAAGAACGACAAUGAGAUUGGUCAUUGCAACCAAAUUAGGGUUCGUGAGUCGAUUACGCAAGGGGAAGGUAUUAGCACCCCUCACAUCCAAUGUACUAAACGGGAACCAUUAGGUUAGCUGUGCGCGCUAGUGUUAGCUUGAAAGGCUUCUCGAGUUAUUAAGAGGGAAAAACGAAAUAGGAAAGAAAAGAUGUUUUUGGAUUUUUUUAUUAAUGUGCGAAGGAAGGAACUAAACCUAAGUUUUUUCAUUAAUGGGCCUGAUAAGAUUUAC